CAUUUACAUUGCCACGACGAAAGAUUCGUAAUGUGAUUACGUUGCCGUUACGUAAUGGUCAUGUAAUUUGGCUAGCUGUGUAUCUGCGUCACUUCAGUUUCACUGCUCUAAUACAGAGCCAGCCUGUUUCAGUGGUCGGUAACAACAGUCGCAAAGCAUCCGGGUAGUUGCACCAGCUGUGCAUAAGUUCUCACGUAAGUUAUGUCGUAAAGUUCACACAAAGGGCUUCGUAACCACUAGUUAGUUUGUAACUAAGUCAGUGCUUAAUUCGGUUGCACCACCUGUUCUUAAGGCAAGACUUAACUAGUAGGUCGCAAGCUCUCCGUAAAGUAAUGCGUACUCGCAUAAUAUGACAUUUACUUGUAUUGAAGCAGCCUUCAAAUUUGUACACAGAAGUGUUAAAAAGCUGUGAAUUUCUAUUUGAUCUUGUUACGGUUGAUGUUCAAACCUCUGCUGUCAGCUGUAAUAAAUUAUAUCUCCAUUAAAAUAUGAUACGUAAUGAAAGUAGAAUUGAUGAAUCGUAUAUUUAUAUAUAGGAAUUGUAUAAGGUGUGAAAAAUAAAUACAGGCUGGAAAAAACAGACAUUUAUUCAUUGUAAUAUCCUAUAUAUAUUUUGAAUGUCUUGAAACUUGUCACCAUGCAAAGCAUCCUGAAAACUGCACCAUUAGAAUGGUUUCAUGCUGAAGACCUGCUUAAAAAAUUGUUUCUCUCUCUCUCUUUCGUAAAUGUCAACAUCAUACUGUAUGUCGAAAGGAUUGAUGCCUGUCAGGCAAAACAUGAGCUCAUUGAUCUCAUAAAAUAUCAGUCUGCUUCUUUUAUUCCAUCCGUUACUCCUGGUCGGAGUCUUCCGUAAAUAUUUACAACAGGCAACAGGCCUCUGUGCUGUGUCUCUGGAAACGAGCGCGCAGAUUUUUCUGUAGAUGAGGUGGCAGCCACAGUCGGUAUCCUACCUCAAAAUCUUCAUCAAAAUGUUUUUAGUCGUCAAAUAUAUGGAAAAAAAGAUUGUCAACAUUAUAUUUGAGUCAUGGUUUGAGGAUGGUGUCACUUGGUGGCCAAACUAUAGAAGUGAUGAAUGCAGGGGAGCCAGGAGCAGACUGGAAAAAGUAUGAGGUUCGAGUCCUCUCAAGACCUGGCAAAUCUUUGAAGAUACAGACAAUGAGCCAGAGAGGGGUUUAAAGAGGAGCUACCUCAAUCUCUCCCAUGUCAUCUAAUGAAAUUUGCCAGACUUCUGCUAGACCCGAGCAGCACCAUCUGUCCCCUUUAAUACAUCUGGCAUGCCUUCCAGUCCUCUAUGCCACUUCUCUGUUGGGCAUGUUCCAGAUCUGUUGCAUUCUGAAGAUGGUUAUUACAAAGCCUCUGUGCCUCCAGCCUCUGUAUCUCUCACAUGCCAUCAAGCUCUAUGGGCCAGAUCUCUGCCAUGACUCUGUUAGAUGAGCAUUCCUGUAAGCCCACAUUUAGACUGGGGAAGAUGGGCACUGGACCUAUUCCUUGCUCUGCUGCUCAGCUGCACAUCUUAACAUUAUUGGAACAUGUGAAGGAACAGCAAAUGCAGCUUGCUGCUGCUGUCAAUAAUCUUGCUGCAUGACAGAGGACCGAAACUCCUGUAGCUGAAAUGCUUCACAAUAUCAGUGUCCCACUGGCCACUAUGCCUGAAGUUGAGGAAUUGGUGGAAUGGCUUAAAGAUUCAAGAAACGCAUGGGCUAAACAAAACAUGAUGGCUCUGGUUGCCGUUGGAGGACAAAACACCAAAAGAGUCACGUGGAACAUACUUUCAAGUCUUUUCUCAGAUGGAGUAGCCUAACAAAUAAACUGGAAAGGAGUCAAUGGGAAGAGGUGCUUUAAGGAAAUGCUUUCAAGAAGUUUGUUGAUCAGCAAGUAUGGUAUAAUAUGAAGAAGUUGAGUAUUAGACACCUUUCUUAAACCAUCUCCACAACCUAAAUCAUAUAUAUGGCCAAGAUAUAAUUUUUUUUUUUAAUUCAUUUCUUACUUUUGUUUGUUAUAACUGUGUUUGAAUUCCAUCAAAACUGUGUCUUUUUAAAACAUAGCUUCAUUACAAGGGCUCAAAAGUAAUUGGACACUUGUCUACAAAUUGUAGACAUGUAUAAACAUUAGUUUCUGCCUUAGGCUGUGUCCACAUAGCAUUUCUUUUCUAAGCAUCAGCAUCUUUUGUUCAGUUGUUCCUAAUGAGGAGAGUGCGUAUGCGGCCACAAUUUAAAUCAUAGCAUAUAUAAAUCGCCAAGGCGGCGUACG
This is a long non-coding RNA of Xyrauchen texanus (razorback sucker), 2250 nucleotides long. RefSeq lists it as uncharacterized. Lineage: Eukaryota; Metazoa; Chordata; Actinopteri; Cypriniformes; Catostomidae. The record is from RefSeq and is a predicted model, not a curated record. The transcript is spliced from 7 exons.